UUAUUCUUUUGGAGUGAUGAUAAACAACCUAUUUGUUAACAUAUGAAUUCAAAGCACUAACUUAUUUGCUCUUGGAGCAUCUGAAUCUUCCAGUCUGAGGAAUUCUCAGGUUUCUCUAGGAAGAGGCAUGAUAUAUGAAUCUGGAAUGACAACAGCCAAGUCAAGAGGUCCCCCAAGGGCCAAGGUCAGAGAGGUCAGAACCACAAGAGGGUGAUCCUUGAGCAGAUGUCCAGGAUGGAGACAGGGCCAAAGGGUGGACAGCACCCCUCGCCCAGCUGUGGCCACUGCAGGAAGGUUCCUGAAAGUCACAGGUCCACUAGCCUCCUCCCCAUCCAAGUGACUGCUCUUCUACUGCUUUCUGUGAGAAUAGUCUUAAAUGGAAUCUCUGUUUCAUAAAUGAUGGAACUCUGUAAA
RNAcentral lists this long non-coding RNA (414 nucleotides) under Bos taurus (domestic cattle). RNAcentral's name for it is "long non-coding RNA NONBTAT000883". The record is from RNAcentral. Lineage: Eukaryota; Metazoa; Chordata; Mammalia; Artiodactyla; Bovidae.